GCAUGUGCCGACAAAACACAAGCCGAAAACUGCAUUAUUUAUGGAAAAAUACUAAGACAGACGGCAACGAGUUUUGAUAAAUUGAAGCACUGAAAAACGCCAAAGAAAAUGAAAAAUAAACAAGAAAGGAAACCACUUUUCGAUUGAGUGAAGACCUCAAAUACUCUUGCCGAUCUAUUGGGGAUCAAAUGGCAAUGCACAAGUAUUUUCCGAGUGCUACAAAAGGGUAUCCGAAAAAUAUCUGAAGCCACAGAA
Drosophila pseudoobscura is the source of this 255-nucleotide long non-coding RNA. RefSeq lists it as uncharacterized. The transcript has 2 exons. The record is from RefSeq and is a predicted model, not a curated record. NCBI's taxonomy places the organism in Eukaryota, Metazoa, Arthropoda, Insecta, Diptera, Drosophilidae.